Molecule: ribosomal RNA, 1372 nt
Filed under: uncultured bacterium
Lineage: Bacteria
Description: bacterial SSU rRNA
Rfam family: Bacterial small subunit ribosomal RNA
Source: RNAcentral
GAUGAACGCUGGCGGCGUGCCUAAUACAUGCAAGUCGAGCGAACGGACGAGAAGCUUGCUUCUCUGAUGUUAGCGGCGGACGGGUGAGUAACACGUGGAUAACCUACCUAUAAGACUGGGAUAACUUCGGGAAACCGGAGCUAAUACCGGAUGAUAUUUUGAACCGCAUGGUUCAAAAGUGAAAGACGGUCUUGCUGUCACUUAUAGAUGGAUCCGCGCUGCAUUAGCUAGUUGGUAAGGUAACGGCUUACCAAGGCAACGAUGCAUAGCCGACCUGAGAGGGUGAUCGGCCACACUGGAACUGAGACACGGUCCAGACUCCUACGGGAGGCAGCAGUAGAGAAUCUUCCGCAAUGGGCGAAAGCCUGACGGAGCAACGCCGCGUGAGUGAUGAAGGUCUUCGGAUCGUAAAACUCUGUUAUUAGGGAAGAACAUAUGUGUAAGUAACUGUGCACAUCUUGACGGUACCUAAUCAGAAAGCCACGGCUAACUACGUGCCAGCAGCCGCGGUAAUACGUAGGUGGCAAGCGUUAUCCGGAAUUAUUGGGCGUAAAGCGCGCGUAGGCGGUUUUUUAAGUCUGAUGUGAAAGCCCACGGCUCAACCGUGGAGGGUCAUUGGAAACUGGAAAACUUGAGUGCAGAAGAGGAAAGUGGAAUUCCAUGUGUAGCGGUGAAAUGCGCAGAGAUAUGGAGGAACACCAGUGGCGAAGGCGACUUUCUGGUCUGUAACUGACGCUGAUGUGCGAAAGCGUGGGGAUCAAACAGGAUUAGAUACCCUGGUAGUCCACGCCGUAAACGAUGAGUGCUAAGUGUUAGGGGGUUUCCGCCCCUUAGUGCUGCAGCUAACGCAUUAAGCACUCCGCCUGGGGAGUACGACCGCAAGGUUGAAACUCAAAGGAAUUGACGGGGACCCGCACAAGCGGUGGAGCAUGUGGUUUAAUUCGAAGCAACGCGAAGAACCUUACCAAAUCUUGACAUCCUCUGACCCCUCUAGAGAUAGAGUUUUCCCCUUCGGGGGACAGAGUAACAGGUGGUGCAUGGUUGUCGUCAGCUCGUGUCGUGAGAUGUUGGGUUAAGUCCCGCAACGAGCGCAACCCUUAAGCUUAGUUGCCAUCAUUAAGUUGGGCACUCUAAGUUGACUGCCGGUGACAAACCGGAGGAAGGUGGGGAUGACGUCAAAUCAUCAUGCCCCUUAUGAUUUGGGCUACACACGUGCUACAAUGGACAAUACAAAGGGCAGCGAAACCGCGAGGUCAAGCAAAUCCCAUAAAGUUGUUCUCAGUUCGGAUUGUAGUCUGCAACUCGACUAUAUGAAGCUGGAAUCGCUAGUAAUCGUAGAUCAGCAUGCUACGGUGAAUACGUUCCCGGGUCU